RNAcentral lists this long non-coding RNA (293 nucleotides) under Marmota monax (woodchuck). The record is from RNAcentral. Lineage: Eukaryota; Metazoa; Chordata; Mammalia; Rodentia; Sciuridae.
AAAAGACCAAUGGAUCCUUUAAUCUAAGUUUGCAGAUUUAUGUCAGAUAAGCAAAGAACUGAUGGACUAGCAGGGAUUUAUUAGAAAGUUUCAAGAGGUAAGACAGCGUCAGAGUAUUUCUCACAUAUUCUGGUUUGGCCAGAUGUUGCAUGCAUGUAUUGCAGAGAUUAAAGAAACCUGUACACCUCUGGCCAACAGAGCCUGUGCACAUGUGCAGAGAUGUGAGGCUAUAUUAAUGGUGUCAACGUAUCUGUAAUUGGUAUUCUAGAAGAAUAGUAGGAAGAGGAGCAGAA